CCUACGGGGUGGCAGCAGUGAGGAAUAUUGGUCAAUGGGCGGAAGCCUGAACCAGCCAAGUAGCGUGCAGGAUGACGGCCCUACGGGUUGUAAACUGCUUUUAUACGGGAAUAACGCGCCUUACGUGUAGGGCUUUGCAUGUCCCGUAUGAAUAAGGACCGGCAAAUUCCGUGACAGCAGCCGCGGUAAUACGGAAGGUCUGGGCGUUAUCCGGAUUUAUUGGGUUUAUAGGGAGCGUAGGCCGCAUGUCAAGCGUGCUGUGAAAUGUCCGGGCUCAACCCGGGCAUUGCAGCGCGAACGGGCGAGCUUGAGUCCGCGGAAAGCAGGCGGAAUUCGUCGUGUAGCGGUGAAAUGCUUAGAUAUGACGAAGAACCCCGAUUGCGAAGGCAGCUUGCUGCAGCGGAACUGACGCUGAUGCUCGAAAGCGCGGGUAUCGAACAGGAUUAGAUACCCUUGUAGUC
RNAcentral lists this ribosomal RNA (461 nucleotides) under uncultured bacterium. Its description in RNAcentral is "partial 16S ribosomal RNA". It matches the Rfam family "Bacterial small subunit ribosomal RNA", at positions 338 to 795 of the family's 1533-position model. The record is from RNAcentral.